RNAcentral lists this ribosomal RNA (168 nucleotides) under uncultured rumen bacterium. Its description in RNAcentral is "partial 16S ribosomal RNA". It matches the Rfam family "Bacterial small subunit ribosomal RNA", at positions 340 to 524 of the family's 1533-position model. The record is from RNAcentral.
UACGGGAGGCAGCAGUAGGGAAUAUUGCACAAUGGGGGAAACCCUGAUGCAGCGACGCCGCGUGAGCGAUUGAAGUAUUUCGGUAUGUAAAGCUCUAUCAGCAGGGAAGAUAAUGACGGUACCUGCAUAAGAAGCCCCGGCUAACUACGUGCCAGCAGCCGCGGUAAU